UACGGGGGGGGUAAGCGUUGUUCGGAAUUACUGGGCGUAAAGGGCUCGUAGGCGGCCAACUAAGUCAGACGUGAAAUCCCUCAGCUUAACUGGGGAACUGCGUCUGAUACUGGAUGGUUUGGAUUCGGGAGAGGAAUGCGGAAUUCCAGGUGUAGCGGUGAAAUGCGUAGAUAUCUGGAGGAACACCGGUGGCGAAGGCGGCAUUCUGGACCGACAUUGACGCUGAGGCGCGAAAGCUAGGGUAGCAAACAGG
This 253-nucleotide ribosomal RNA is filed under the name uncultured bacterium. Its description in RNAcentral is "partial 16S ribosomal RNA". It matches the Rfam family "Bacterial small subunit ribosomal RNA", at positions 524 to 776 of the family's 1533-position model. The record is from RNAcentral.